CAGGCGCGUAGCUACAUUUACGUCAAAACGCCCGGGCGUACACUUGAAUUUUGCCAAAAAAAAUAUAAUAAAAAAAGAACUGGUUAAAUCACACCAGCCUUGUAAAUCUUUCUUCAGACAUUAGCUUUUAAUAGCGAAUAAAAGUGACGACAUCUACUUUUCAAUCACAUGGUACCAUGUUAAAUGUAUUUGUUCAUUUCCUUAAACAGUCUGAAUCUAGUGUGAAUUCUACUUUCUUGUUUAAAGCAUUUCUGUA
This 256-nucleotide long non-coding RNA is filed under the name Mytilus galloprovincialis (Mediterranean mussel). Lineage: Eukaryota; Metazoa; Mollusca; Bivalvia; Mytilida; Mytilidae. The record is from RNAcentral.